This 806-nucleotide long non-coding RNA is filed under the name Homo sapiens (human). RNAcentral describes it as "HSALNT0110016". Lineage: Eukaryota; Metazoa; Chordata; Mammalia; Primates; Hominidae. The record is from RNAcentral.
AGCUCAGAACAUGAAAAGUCUGUUGCCAUAAGUACUGAAACAAUUGGGGCAACAUUCAUGUUCUGUAACCACCUCUGUCCUGAUGUUUAAUCUGUGUAUCAUUGAUUCGUGUUCCAGGAGCCUUUUCAAUUUAUAAUAGUUUUACACUUAACUGUGAAAACUUUGUAAAAUUGUUUUCAAAUAAAGAAUUGUAUAUUUUUCCAACAAUGGGAAUGAUAGACCCACUGCAGAAAUUAUAAUAAGCCAAAUGACAGGCUUAAAAUAAGGAUCGUUAUGCCUUUUAAGAUGACAGAUAAAAAUCCAAUAGAACUGACACAAUGAAAGGAAAGUCCUGCUUCACGCUAGUGGGCUUUACCACACACCACACACACACACACACACACACACACACACAGAGUCACCAACAAUGCUAUUCACUUGUCUGAAGAUAUGUAACUACACAAUGCUGUCAAUGUGAAUCCUGAGCCAUGCACAUAGUUCUUUUCUUAUUGCACCAAUUUGGAUGUAGACCUAUUAAAAUUUGUGAAUUGUCAAUCAAUCUUGUCUUGAAACAUUUGUAAACUAUAUAUACUGUGGGUAAGAGAGCAAAUGGAUAGGAGAAGGUGUACUUUACACUACACCAAUAGAAAUCAGAUAAUGGUGUUCCAUGAAAUUUAAGAAUGUGUAUUUGAUCUCACAUUUUGUUUAUUCCUCGUUCCCUCGAAAAAUACAUUCUCACUUUAUUAUCAUAAACAACUACUGAUUAUUGUGAAUUAUAUACAGCAUUAUAAAAUGUGUUCAUUAGCAAUAUGUAUUCUUUACCGGGU